This 440-nucleotide ribosomal RNA is filed under the name uncultured bacterium. RNAcentral's name for it is "bacterial SSU rRNA". It matches the Rfam family "Bacterial small subunit ribosomal RNA", at positions 340 to 774 of the family's 1533-position model. The record is from RNAcentral.
UACGGAAGGCAGCAGUGGGGAAUAUUGCACAAUGGGCGCAAGCCUGAUGCAGCCAUGCCGCGUGUAUGAAGAAGGCCUUCGGGUUGUAAAGUACUUUCAGUCGUGAGGAAGGUGUUAAGGUUAAUAACCUUAGCAAUUGACGUUAGCGACAGAAGAAGCACCGGCUAACUCCGUGCCAGCAGCCGCGGUAAUACGGAGGGUGCGAGCGUUAAUCGGAAUUACUGGGCGUAAAGGGCACGCAGGCGGUUAAUUAAGUUGGAUGUGAAAUCCCCGGGCUUAACCUGGGAAUGGCAUUCAAGCUGGUUAGCUAGAGUCUUGUAGAGGGGGUAGAAUUCCAUGUGUAGCGGUGAAAUGCGUAGAGAUGUGGAGGAAUACCGGUGGCGAAGGCGGCCCCUGGACAAAGGCUGACGCUCGAUGUGCGAAAGCGUGGGGAGCGAAAC